Molecule: long non-coding RNA, 307 nt
Filed under: Vitis vinifera (wine grape)
Lineage: Eukaryota; Viridiplantae; Streptophyta; Magnoliopsida; Vitales; Vitaceae
Description: long non-coding RNA (VVIN_LNC006896)
Source: RNAcentral
AUUCAUUUGCAUCAUGGUUGUGUGAAGAAAGGAUAAAAAUUGUGAAAAGUGUAUGAAAUGGAAAAAGAAAGAAAAAAAAUGAAAUAGUGAUGAAAAGUGAAAGCCCGUGUGAGGCGAAUUAAGAAGGGAAAGAGAUCCCCAGGGUGAAAGACCCAAAAGUUUACCCCAGGAAGACUCCGAAUGGGGAAUGUAUUUGGGUGCGGACACGUAUCCUUCAGUGAAAACCUGAGAACAAUAGUGCAUUGUAUGACUGUGUGUCACACGUUCAUAUGCAUUCAUUUAAUGGUUGAAUGUUGUGGAAUUGUGU